UACGUAGGGUGCGAGCGUUAAUCGGAAUUACUGGGCGUAAAGCGUGCGCAGGCGGCUUUGCAAGACAGAUGUGAAAUCCCCGGGCUUAACCUGGGAACUGCAUUUGUGACUGCAUGGCUGGAGUGCGGCAGAGGGGGAUGGAAUUCCGCGUGUAGCAGUGAAAUGCGUAGAGAUGCGGAGGAACACCGAUGGCGAAGGCAGCCCCCUGGGCCAACACUGACGCUCAGGCACGAAAGCGUGGGGAGCAAACAGG
Molecule: ribosomal RNA, 253 nt
Filed under: uncultured bacterium
Lineage: Bacteria
Description: partial 16S ribosomal RNA
Rfam family: Bacterial small subunit ribosomal RNA
Source: RNAcentral